UAAUGACUCUCGGCAACGGAUAUCUCGGCUCUCGCAUCGAUGAAGAACGUAGCGAACUGCGAUACUUGGUGUGAAUUGCAGAAUCCCGUGAACCAUCGAGUCUUUGAACGCAAGUUGCGCCCGAAGCCGUUUGGCCGAGGGCACGUUUGCCUGGGUGUCA
RNAcentral lists this ribosomal RNA (160 nucleotides) under Kunzea ambigua. RNAcentral's name for it is "5.8S ribosomal RNA". It matches the Rfam family "5.8S ribosomal RNA". Rfam says of the family: 5.8S ribosomal RNA (5.8S rRNA) is a component of the large subunit of the eukaryotic ribosome. It is transcribed by RNA polymerase I as part of the 45S precursor that also contains 18S and 28S rRNA. Lineage: Eukaryota; Viridiplantae; Streptophyta; Magnoliopsida; Myrtales; Myrtaceae. The record is from RNAcentral.